UACGGAGGGGGCGAGCGUUAUUCGGAAUUAUUGGGCGUAAAGGGCGCGUAGGCGGCUAGACAAGUCAAAGGUGAAAUCCCUCGGCUCAACUGAGGAACUGCCUUUGAAACUGUCUGGCUUGAGGCCGGGAGGGGGUAGCGGAAUUCCCAGUGUAGCGGUGAAAUGCGUAGAUAUUGGGAGGAACACCAGUGGCGAAGGCGGCUACCUGGACCGGUUCUGACGCUGAUGCGCGAAAGCGUGGGUAGCAAACAGG
This 253-nucleotide ribosomal RNA is filed under the name uncultured bacterium. Its description in RNAcentral is "partial 16S ribosomal RNA". It matches the Rfam family "Bacterial small subunit ribosomal RNA", at positions 524 to 776 of the family's 1533-position model. The record is from RNAcentral.